RNAcentral lists this ribosomal RNA (582 nucleotides) under uncultured bacterium. Its description in RNAcentral is "bacterial SSU rRNA". It matches the Rfam family "Bacterial small subunit ribosomal RNA", at positions 55 to 608 of the family's 1533-position model. The record is from RNAcentral.
AUGCAGUCGAACGGGAUUAUUUUUGUAGCAAUACAGAAAUAAUUCAGUGGCUGAACUGGGUGCGUAACACGUGGAGCAUCUGCCGAAAAGUGGGGGAUAGCUCGCCGAAAUGGCUGAACUUAAUACCGCAUGUGGUGAGGGACGACAUCUUCCUGAAUCCAAAGCCGGGGUAACCUGGCGCUUUUUGAGGAGCCCGCGGCCUAUCAGCUAGUUGGUGAGGUAACGGCCCACCAAGGCUAUGACGGGUAGCUGGUCUGAGAGGACGACCAGUCACACUGGAACUGAGACACGGUCCAGACACCUACGGGUGGCAGCAGUCGAGAAUUUUUCUCAAUGGGGGCAACCCUGAAGGAUGCGACGCCGCGUGGAGGAUGAAGGCUUUCGGGUUGUAAACUCCUGUCAUUUGGGAACAAGUUGUACGUGUUUACUGCACGUGCAUUGAUAGUACCAGAAGAGGAAGGGACGGCUAACUCUGUGCCAGCAGGCCGCGGUAAUACAGAGGUCCCAAGCGUUGUCCGGAUUCAUUGGGCCGUAAAGGGUUGCGUAAGUGGCGCCGUAAGGUCGGGUGUGAAAUUUCGGGAG